GUUCAUGGCAAUGUUGUCUGAUCCGAAUUCAUAUAUAGAUUAUGCCUCAAAGAUCUUUUGAAGCUUCCAUUUCUAGGGUUUCCUUCUUUUGGAUCUUUGAAACAAAGAAUGCUUCUGGAUUUUGUUGCUAAUGAUUUAUGUGAAUCCGGAUCAGGCUUCAUUACCAUCAAU
This 171-nucleotide microRNA precursor is filed under the name Lupinus angustifolius (narrow-leaved blue lupine). RNAcentral's name for it is "pre miRNA mir-166". Lineage: Eukaryota; Viridiplantae; Streptophyta; Magnoliopsida; Fabales; Fabaceae. The record is from RNAcentral.